CUCACCCAACCGGGCAAAAGCUAAUCCUCGUGAGGAAACCGAUCAUCGGGACACCACCGACCCCGCGGCGAUGUCGGAGGAGGCGAAGUACCUGGAGACGGCGCGGGCCGACCGCUUCAUGUGGCUCAUGAAGUGCCCCACUGUCGUCUCCCGCGCCUGGCAGGAGGCCGCCGCCGCCGCCGCGGCGCUCGGCCCCGACGCCGGCGGUGCCGACCCUAACCCUGACGUCGCUAAGGUCAUCCUCUCCCUCGAUCCCCUCCGCGACGACGAUACGCCUAGCCAGGCAAGUGCCUCCUGCUAGCUCCCCUCAUCACAUUGCCUCGCUGUGUGCUGUUGUUCCGUGCAAUGCGUUUCGAUCGAUUCGUUCUCGAUCUCUACGUCAGCGUAGACCGAACUAUGGGAACGAAUGGGAUUGGUGGAUCUAACACGCUGCCAAGUUAUUGCAAUAGUAUUCGUGGAGGUGCAGUGGACUGAUGUUGAAGUAGGUUCUGAGGGCUAGAUGAUAAGAGUUAUCAGUCCCCAGAGAUGAUUUUUUAAUUGAACAUGUUGUUUUCUUUGAUUUUUAAUCGAUCGGACAGCUUUUAUUUCUGUCUCGUAACAAUUGGAACUCUAUAGGAGUGUCUUUGGAUAGUUGGAUAUGUGUCAUCAUAUUCAUGUAGAAGUCGAUGAGCAAUUUCUGUGCCUACAGUCAGGCGGGACAGAAAGAAAGUUGGGAGUCAUGCAGUUCGUGUUUAGUGUAGAGACUAGAGAGAUAGAAGAAAUGUCUACCCUGUGGUUCAGGAAUGUGCCCCAGUUAUUCCAGUCACUUUAAGAUAGCUUUGCUCAAUGAAAAUUGUUUUAGACCAUUCUUUUUGUAUGCUAUAUCUAGCACUUAUGGUACUUAUGCUUCUUACGUUGUGUUAAUGACACAAUAGAUCAAGAUGGAGAUGACUCAAGCAAGCAGUGGCAAUACACCGAAGAGUUACUCUCUGAAUAUUCAGUGAUUUUGUGCCAAUGUGCAUUUUUUCUGAGUCUAACCAAGGUUGGAGCCAGGCAUAUUUAAUUAACUUUCAUUGUCAUGUUUCCAUGUAUCUAUUUAUCUCUACUUGCGCAAAUUUUCAUAAAGACAACGUUGCAAACGCUAAUUGUUGCAAGUUGUUUUCUAGGCUCUAGCAAACUGAUGCUUGGUUACUGAACCUUCAAACUAUUUUAACAUUGAACAGCAUCUUUACGACCUUGAUGCUCUGUAGAAUGAUACAAGUAUAUAUAUGUCUUACUAGUUUAAAACAUUUUGUAUUAUAAAGUAAAGCUUAAACAUAUGCUUUAGAAACCUUUUAUUGUGGAAAAUAGUGCUUGUUUUUGGAGGGGGUAUAGCAUUAACUAAUUGGGUUCAAUAAUUAGAAGCAUGCUAGGCAAUUUCACCAAAUGGCUUCCACUAUUAGGAAAGCUUGUCAGUUCUGAUUGAUUGUAGAAUGGUUUGCAGUCCAUUUGAAUGCCAAAUAAGUUGCCUGGGUUUUUGUGAUAUCUAUCGCAUUCUGAGACUAGUCAAAUCUACUUACAAAGAAACAAGGACAUGGUUGCAGAGGAUGCAUCUAUUAAUAUGUGUGGGCUAUGCUGCCAUGUUGACCAAUCGGGUCAUACAGUUUUGGGUGCAUUCCUCGGUGGAUCCAUCUGUAUAUUUGUGUAUGUGACUAUGUCUAAACUUAAUUCUAGUAAGCGCCCAAUUGACGGAUGAUUCCCAAUAUGAGUAACUUAAUUUGUGUUCUUUUUCCUUGAAUACACUCAAUUUGUGUCUCAUUGUGUACUCCUGACUUUGCACACGAAAUUUCAUACUACCUAGAAGCCAUUUCACUUAACAGAGGAAAUUAUGUCCUGUACACCCCAUCAGAUAGGUCUUUGUGUAAAGCUAACAUACUAAGCUUUGGUUGUUGCAUGACCAUGCUAUAGGUAAGGUAACCCAUAUGUCUCGAUGAGGUCUCUUAAUUAUAUUAUAUAGGCUUUAGCUUGAUCAUGUAUGUAAAUGACAACAUGUUAAAGAAAGUGACCAGUGUUUCGUAAUACUGUUUUACACUUAUAUUUUUCCUCCAAAACUACAUCUUACUUGCACCAUAUUUAUCUUCUGCCUUUAAAAUUUCUUUGUGUAAUACCUCACAUGAUAUGCGCUGUGCUCUAUUGAUACUCCCAGAACUAUGUUUUAGUGUUCAUAUUUGUCAAUAUUUUAAUUACAAGCUAUGUACUUAGUUUGUUUCCUGUACCACACAAUUUAACCUCUAAUUUCUUUACAUGGAAACUUGCUUGCGAAGGGAAAGUUGAAAACAAAUUUGACAUGAAACUGCACAGGGGAAAUCUUAUGGACUAUGGAAGGUUAUGCCGUGAGAGGACCAAUAUGUCCAUGGUCAAAAUAAGAAGAACGGAGUUAAUUCUAGAUGACAAUGGAAAAGGCAUGAGACCUAUGACUGGCAACCAGCUGGUACAUCCUGGCCAAAAGGUGUUAUUUGUAACGUAUCUAAGGACAAGAAGAAGCCACCGGUAACAAAACCAAUUAACAUGAAAAGAACACGAAUGGAUCGUGGGCAACUGGAAAACAAACUAUUCAACCUUUUCGAGAGCAAUUCCUGAAGGAGAUACUGAACACGCUCUAUGUCUACAACAAGUGAGGGCUAAUCAAGGGAUGCAUGAUGGCACGAGCUCAAGCCUGAAUACAAGAAGAGUACAGGAGACAGCCCCACUAAUUGAAGCUUGUGCAUCAUUUACAACUUAGAACCUCUUUCCUGAUGUGUUGAAUAUGACUUACCGAUUCUGUCAUGGGAGCUCUCAGCUGUUUGUUGUUGCGUAUAAGUAGAUCUGCUUUGUCUCAUUGGUCGUCACUUACACUAGUUGGUACUUGUGGGCCGAUAAUCUUUCAUACCACUGGCAGUUGUACGUGUCAAUGAACCGGAGUGUGGCAAACUUGUAGUAUUUCACAUUUUCAAUAUAUGGGAACAAGGAUCGAGAUCCGCAAUUAUAUA
Setaria italica (foxtail millet) is the source of this 2987-nucleotide long non-coding RNA. RefSeq lists it as uncharacterized. The transcript has 4 exons. The record is from RefSeq and is a predicted model, not a curated record. NCBI's taxonomy places the organism in Eukaryota, Viridiplantae, Streptophyta, Magnoliopsida, Poales, Poaceae.